AGAGCUCAUGUGAUCCGUCACAUGACAGCAGAUCUGCGGAAGGGCAGAAUGGGACUCCAAGCCUGCCUCCUAGGGCUCUUUGCCCUCAUCCUCUCUGGCAAAUGCAGCUACAGCCCGGAGCCCGACCAGCGGAGGACGCUGCCCCCAGGCUGGGUGUCCCUGGGCCGUGCGGACCCUGAGGAAGAGCUGAGUCUCACCUUUGCCCUGAGACAGCAGAAUGUGGAAAGACUCUCGGAGCUGGUGCAGGCUGUGUCGGAUCCCAGCUCUCCUCAAUACGGUGCCUUUUGGGACUGAGGACAGGAUGUGGGAUGCAGUGGAGGGACACAGGGCUGGGUUGGGCAUGGGAUGGUGAUCAUGUCAGGGCCUGCCAAGACACUUGUGUUCCUCAGGCUAGAAACCUAAAAGGGGAUGUGGUUCAGUAUACAGGCUUUAUGAUCAAAUAUGAACUCAAAUGCUGACUCUGCUACUUACUAGCUACCAGGCAUCUAGUACAACUUACGUUCCUUCCCCUACCCUCAAAUCCAUUCUAAUUUCCUCUUUUGUUCACAUACUAAGGCUGCCAGUUCUAACUCCCAAAGAGCCUUUGGAUUAAUCUACUUCUUGCUGUCUU
This 610-nucleotide small RNA is filed under the name Pan troglodytes (chimpanzee). RNAcentral describes it as "retained intron". Lineage: Eukaryota; Metazoa; Chordata; Mammalia; Primates; Hominidae. The record is from RNAcentral.